This is a long non-coding RNA of Drosophila ananassae, 1041 nucleotides long. RefSeq lists it as uncharacterized. NCBI's taxonomy places the organism in Eukaryota, Metazoa, Arthropoda, Insecta, Diptera, Drosophilidae. The record is from RefSeq and is a predicted model, not a curated record. The transcript is spliced from 5 exons.
AUCUAUAUCCCAAUUCGUGGACGAACCAAUGAUUUUAGUUGAGCCAAAGGCUUUCAGCAGUUAAUAGCACGAAAUUGUGUCUUUCCCUAGCGGACAUCGAAAAAACCACCAAAAGCAAAACCAAUCAUGAGUGAAGCCAAGAACCUGAUGACCACCUUCGGCAUCCUGGCCGUUCUGCUGUUCUUCCUUUACAUCAUUUAUGCCGUAUUGUAGACUUUUAUGGCCAGAAUAAGGUCUUUGGAGCAGGAUAUGAGCAACCACCACCAACAAAAACCACUCAAUCAAAAUGAAUGAAGCCAGGAGUCUGUUCACCACCUUCCUCAUCUUGGCCUUCCUGCUGUUCCUGCUCUAUGCCUUUUACGAAGCCGCCUUCUAAACCCAUCCCCCAAAACCAUCCAGUCCCAUCAUAACCAUCAAUAAAUCAAGGAUAGCAUACAUGUUGAAUUUCAAUUCCAAGCCCGCCCGUCCCGGCCAUGUCAAUAACAGCUUUUUGGCCAAGACGGCGGCGCUUCUAGGACCCUACGCGUUUAAGAUUUUUAGCAUUUAAUGGAUUUCUACUAGUAACCUAAGCGAGAUGACGUCAAAGCCACCAGCUGCCCAAAUCGGAGGCUCGCCGGCAUUUUUCGAUUCAGAUCAUUGCGAUGAUCGAUCGAUAACCCAUGCUGAGUGCGCCGCGCUAGAUUUCUUUCACCUUCGAGGCGCUGCAAGAACGAUCCAUUCUGAAGGCUCUGCUGCCGGUGUUGGCGUCAUCUGUUGUAAUCAUAAAUUUAUUUUGUGAUUUCAAUUUUAUUUCUACGUUUUUGUUUCGCAAUGGAAUUACUACUUAGUUUGCCAUUUAUAGACCAUGAUGUACAGUAUAAGAAAAUUGAGAACAACAUCAGAAAUCAAUUUAUUUCGCAUUCGUACUUAGUAAGAGAAACAUAAUUUGUAACUGCAUUUUACUUUUGUUUUAAUUUAUUGUGAAUAACAUAUGCACCACAACAAAAAAUGAGCAACAACAACAGCCCACUGCAGGAAAUAAAAAAACAAAAAACCACCUAA